RNAcentral lists this ribosomal RNA (253 nucleotides) under uncultured bacterium. RNAcentral describes it as "partial 16S ribosomal RNA". It matches the Rfam family "Bacterial small subunit ribosomal RNA", at positions 524 to 776 of the family's 1533-position model. The record is from RNAcentral.
UACAUGGGGUGCAAACGUUGCUCGGAAUUAUUGGGCGUAAAGCGCGCGUAGGCGGUUACUUAAGUCGGAUGUGAAAGCCCUCGGCUUAACUGAGGAAGUGCACCCGAAACUGAGUAGCUAGAGUACGAAAGAGGGUCGCGGAAUUCCCGGUGUAGAGGUGAAAUUCGUAGAUAUCGGGAGGAACACCAGCGGCGAAGGCGGCGACCUGGGUGGAUACUGACGCUGAGGUGCGAAAGCGUGGGGAGCAAACAGG